CAAGUGACCCCGGUCUAACCACCGGGAUGUUCAUAACCCUUUGUUGUCCGACUCUGUUGCCUCCGGGGCGACCCUGCCUUCGGGCGGGGCUCCGGUGGACACUUCAAACUCUUGCGUAACUUUGCAGUCUGAGUAAACUUAAUUAAUAAAUU
This 152-nucleotide unclassified non-coding RNA is filed under the name uncultured Cladosporium. Its description in RNAcentral is "sequence contains ITS1". Lineage: Eukaryota; Fungi; Ascomycota; Dothideomycetes; Cladosporiales; Cladosporiaceae. The record is from RNAcentral.